AUCUACUCUAAUCAUACAAAAUCUACUUAAAUAAAACACUUUAAUAAUAAUUCUCUACUCAAUCACCAAUAUUAAGUACUAAAAAGGAAACAACUAAUAAACUUAAGUAGUGUUUAACACACGUACCUUGUGCAUUAUGGUUUUACAAGCUAAAAAUUAAAAAUAAACUCCCGAAUUCUACACGAGCUGCCCUUAUAUAGCUUAGAUCCCACUACUAGUUGUAACACCAACCUUAGAAAAUAUACUGGCAGAGGCUACAUACCACACGCGUUAGAAAAUUGCUGGUUCUCGAUAAAAUUUAUUAAUUAAAACAUAUAGCAUCAUCUAUAGUGUAAGACUUUAGAGGACAAGCCCUAAAAUCCCACGCCAAGUAGUUUUAAUUCUUACCAACUAGGCUUAAAAACAGCCAUUAACAGUACUUUACCGUACUACUUAUAAAAUAAAUAAAUAUAUUGCAUCACGAAAUCGAGAUCUAAGAAAAAUAAUCAAUCUUAAAAUAUUAUGUAAAAAUAAGUAUUAGAAAAAUAAAUAAUAACUAACAUAUAACAAUAUAUACUACUAUCAAAUAAAAACUUAUAAAGGAACUCGGCAAAUCAUUAUUUCGACUGUUUAACAAAAACAUUGCUUCUUGCAUCCACAUAAGAAGUAAUUCCUGCCCAGUGACUCACGUUCAACGGCCGCGGUAUCCUAACCGUGCAAAGGUAGCAUAAUCACUUGCCCAUUAAUUGUGGGCUAGAAUGAAAGGACCAACGAAAUAAAAACUGUCUCUAUAAGUCGCAUAAAAAUUAAUCUCUAACUGAAGACUGUUAGAUACCGUUGAAGGACAAGAAGACCCUGUAGAGCUUCAUUUUAAUUAAAACUGACUAUUUAAAUAAGAUUCGGUUGGGGCGACCAGGGAAAAAUCAAUCAUCCCCUACAAAAAGAUUAAUUAAUCUACUUUAUGACCCUUAAUUAAGAUCACCAGAACAAGCUACCUUAGGGAUAACAGGCUAAUCCCACUAAAGAGUUCUUAUCAAUAGUGGGGGUUGGCACCUCGAUGUUGGCUUAGGGAAUCUAUAUGAAGCAAAAGUCAUAUAAAGAUGGUUUGUUCAACCAAUAAUACCCUACAUGAGCUGAGUUCAGACCGGCGUAAGCCAGGUUAGUUUCUAUCCUCAAUAAAUAAAUCUAUUUAUAGUACGAAAGGACCUAAUUAAGAAUAAUAAUUAUAACAUAAGAAAGAAUAUAAACUAUAUUAAAUAAUAUAUCACAUCCACUAUG
Molecule: ribosomal RNA, 1257 nt
Filed under: Aporrectodea rosea
Lineage: Eukaryota; Metazoa; Annelida; Clitellata; Crassiclitellata; Lumbricidae
Description: 16S ribosomal RNA
Rfam family: Bacterial large subunit ribosomal RNA
Source: RNAcentral